GCCAGCAGCUAUCAACUCUGCAGCUGUCAUCUGGUCGCCCACUGAAGCUAAGCAGGGUUGAGCCUGGUCAGUACCUGGACGGUCGACCUCCUGGGGAAAACUAAGUUGCUGCUGGAA
This 117-nucleotide ribosomal RNA is filed under the name Sinocyclocheilus grahami. Lineage: Eukaryota; Metazoa; Chordata; Actinopteri; Cypriniformes; Cyprinidae. The record is from RNAcentral.